AGUAAAACAGGUGGACCGAACUGAAGUUAGUCGGGGUCCGGUUCCGCCCGCUGCUCCUCCCCGGGCAGAGAGAACCGGGUCUUCAUCGGAGCCGUGGUGUCGGGUCAGACACGUGACUGUUUCUUCUGCAUAAAUUCACGAUUCUGCUACCAGUCGUCACGCUGCGAAAGGUCAAAUACAGAAGUGCCGAGAGAUAAAUCAGAUUACAGCCAGGAUUUACCUAUUUAGAUUUCAUCAGUGAAGUAAAAACAAGUUUGGACUUCCAGAUGGAGCUGAAGCUCAUAUUUUUGAUGACUGACACAGCAGAAGAGGAAGAUGUUCUUCACAUCACAGACGGUUCUGACUAUGUGCGUACAGUAAAGAUGACACCAUUUAUAUUGUACCGCUGUCUUUGGUGUAACUCUGGUCAAGGUUACCUUAUAGCUUGGAGGAUUUGUUACUCUUAAUAAAGAGUUAAAAAGCCUGCUAAAUGCUAAAUUAUUUCGUUCACUUCAUAACAUAUCUGGACACUUUUUCUCGAACCGCUGAACCUUCAACCCAGCUGUGGAUUAGCAGGGAAAGGAUGAACGAGUAGCUUCAUGUCUUCUUCAUGAUCAGAGAAAGGCACAAUUCAACUGCUGAUGGUUAUUUGUAUGUACAUAUUGAC
Oryzias melastigma (Indian medaka) is the source of this 646-nucleotide long non-coding RNA. RefSeq lists it as uncharacterized. NCBI's taxonomy places the organism in Eukaryota, Metazoa, Chordata, Actinopteri, Beloniformes, Adrianichthyidae. The record is from RefSeq and is a predicted model, not a curated record. The transcript has 3 exons.